UACUGAGCUCAGUGUUGAUCAGAUGUUCUC
Molecule: non-coding RNA, 30 nt
Filed under: Rattus norvegicus (Norway rat)
Lineage: Eukaryota; Metazoa; Chordata; Mammalia; Rodentia; Muridae
Source: RNAcentral